This 271-nucleotide ribosomal RNA is filed under the name uncultured prokaryote. RNAcentral's name for it is "partial 16S ribosomal RNA". It matches the Rfam family "Bacterial small subunit ribosomal RNA", at positions 524 to 794 of the family's 1533-position model. The record is from RNAcentral.
GACGGAGGAGGCAAGCGUUGUCCGGAAUUAUUGGGCGUAAAGAGCGCGUAGGCGGUUUUCCAAGUCAUAUGUGAAAACUUUAGGCUUAACCUAAAGAUUGCAUGUGAAACUGGAUAACUAGAGUACGGCAGAGGAAAGUGGAAUUCCUGGUGUAGCGGUGAAAUGCGCAGAUAUCAGGAAGAACACCAGUGGCGAAGGCGGCUUUCUAGGCCGUUACUGACGCUGAGGCGCGAAAGCUAGGGGAGCGAACAGGAUUAGAUACCCUGGUAGU